CGUCCCGUAGCUCAGCUGGAGAGAGCGUCCGUCUGAUACGCGGUAGGUCCCAGGUUCAAGUCCUGGCGGGACGA
RNAcentral lists this transfer RNA (74 nucleotides) under Lentzea aerocolonigenes. RNAcentral describes it as "Lechevalieria aerocolonigenes tRNA". It matches the Rfam family "tRNA". Rfam says of the family: Transfer RNA (tRNA) molecules are approximately 80 nucleotides in length. Their secondary structure includes four short double-helical elements and three loops (D, anti-codon, and T loops). The record is from Rfam by way of RNAcentral. RNAcentral also lists the same sequence under 1 other name. Lineage: Bacteria; Bacillati; Actinomycetota; Actinomycetes; Pseudonocardiales; Pseudonocardiaceae.